Molecule: long non-coding RNA, 758 nt
Organism: Oryzias melastigma (Indian medaka)
Lineage: Eukaryota; Metazoa; Chordata; Actinopteri; Beloniformes; Adrianichthyidae
Exons: 2
Source: RefSeq, a predicted model, not a curated record
GUAGAUUUCAGUAGAUUUUGAAGUAUUCCUUCAAAAUCUACAGAAAUUAAAAAAGUUAGAGUAAAUAAAAGAACAUAAACUCUGAAGCCUCAUUGUUAAAGGGUUAAAGGAAGUCAAAUUGCCUUAUCUUAAGCAUGACCUCACGUGAUAUGUUGUUUAAAAAAAUGCUAACAUAAGCAAAUACAUUAAUUCAUGUAAUGAUUUAAAAUAUGACAGAUAAAAAUAAAAACAACUUCAAAAUGUAUUUCUUAAUAGAGUAAAUGUAAAAAAAAGUAAAUAAAAUACAUUAUCUAAAUAUACUGGAAAGAGACAAAAGAAUUUGCCUUUUGUGUUUCCCCCGGUAGAGUUAACAGCAUAAGUGUUAUUCAAAUGUCAAACGGUGUGUUUGGAGUGUAAGGAGAGGAAACAGACUGAUGGAGGGCUUCUGUUCUGAAGAGGAAAAACAGGAGAACAGACUCACCAUCACUGCUGAUGCUCUUUCUGGACAGAACUCUACACCAUCAGCAGGCGGCGUCCCCGGUGACAGUGGUGGUGUCAGCGACCCAGCUUGACUGAUAGCGCGGUGUUAUUUUACACCGCUCUGACUGGCUGCGCUGAUGUUUCAGCGGUGAAAACAGGAACUGCUUGUGCCGAGUGGGCGUGCUUGCAAACAGAAAGGCUGGGUGGGUGGAUGGGCAAGGCUGCUUGUACACAUACACACACAUGCGACAUACACACACUGUUGCGGUGUUGGGAUGCAUUGCAAAAAAAAAAAAAAA